AAUUUUUAGCUCACCUGGCCCGAAGGGCCAAGUGAGCUUUUCCCAUCACUUUGCGUCCGGCGUCCGGCGUCGUCCGUCGUCGUCCGUCGUCGUCCGUCGUCCGUCGUCGUUAACUUUUACAAAAAUCUUCUCCUCUGAAACUGCUGGGCCAAAUUAAACCAAACUUGGCCACAAUCAUCAUUGGGGUAUCUAGUUUCAAAAAUGUGUGGCGUGAUCCCGCCAACCAACCAAGAUGGCCGCCAUGGCUAAAAAUAGAACAUAGGGG
RNAcentral lists this long non-coding RNA (265 nucleotides) under Mytilus galloprovincialis (Mediterranean mussel). The record is from RNAcentral. Lineage: Eukaryota; Metazoa; Mollusca; Bivalvia; Mytilida; Mytilidae.